UCCCGUGUAGCUCACUUGGUAGAGCGUGGUGUUUGCAACACCAGGGUUGUGGGUUCGAUUCCCACUGGGGAC
Molecule: transfer RNA, 72 nt
Filed under: Salmo salar (Atlantic salmon)
Lineage: Eukaryota; Metazoa; Chordata; Actinopteri; Salmoniformes; Salmonidae
Rfam family: tRNA
About the family: Transfer RNA (tRNA) molecules are approximately 80 nucleotides in length.
Source: Rfam by way of RNAcentral